GGCCUCUCCUUUUCUUUUUCCUUUUUGCCCUUUUUUCUUCUCUCUUUUUCAUUUUCAUUUUGACUUUGAUUUUGAUUUUUCUUUUUCUUUUUUUUUUGUUUUUGAUUUUUUCUGGAUUGGAUCUGAACCCAUAGGAAUAGGCAAGUCCUUAUUAUCCGUUUUGAAGAAUCUUCUUUGAUAUCGGAUUUCCUUCAUAGAGCCUUCUGGGGCGAAACUACGACAGAGAAAUUUUGAUCUUCCUCUUCAAUGAGGAUAAAAUCC
Molecule: long non-coding RNA, 261 nt
Filed under: Gossypium raimondii (Peruvian cotton)
Lineage: Eukaryota; Viridiplantae; Streptophyta; Magnoliopsida; Malvales; Malvaceae
Description: long non-coding RNA (GRAI_LNC008317)
Source: RNAcentral